RNAcentral lists this ribosomal RNA (252 nucleotides) under uncultured bacterium. RNAcentral's name for it is "partial 16S ribosomal RNA". It matches the Rfam family "Bacterial small subunit ribosomal RNA", at positions 525 to 776 of the family's 1533-position model. The record is from RNAcentral.
ACGGAGGGUGCUAGCGUUGUUCGGAAUCACUGGGCGUAAAGGGCGCGUAGGCGGCAUGGCCAGUCAGAUGUGAAAGCCCAGGGCUCAACCCUGGAACUGCAUUUGAUACUGCCAAGCUAGAGUUCGGAAGAGGAAAGUGGAAUACCCAGUGUAGAGGUGAAAUUCGUAGAUAUUGGGUGGAACACCGGUGGCGAAAGCGGCUUUCUGGUCCGACACUGACGCUGAGGCGCGAAAGCGUGGGGAGCAAACAGG